CAGCAGCCGCGGGAAUACGAAGGGUGCAAGCGUUACUCGGAAUUACUGGGCGUAAAGCGUGCGUAGGUGGUGGUUUAAGUCCGUUGUGAAAGCCCUGGGCUCAACCUGGGAAUUGCAGUGGAUACUGGGUCACUAGAGUGUGGUAGAGGAUAGUGGAAUUUCCGGUGUAGCAGUGAAAUGCGUAGAGAUCGGGAGGAACAUCAGUGGCGAAGGCGGCCAUCUGGGACAACACUGACGCUGAGGCACGAAAGCGUGGGGAGCAAACAGGAUUAGAUACCCCAGUAGUCCCUGUCUCUUAUAC
This 301-nucleotide ribosomal RNA is filed under the name uncultured bacterium. RNAcentral's name for it is "partial 16S ribosomal RNA". It matches the Rfam family "Bacterial small subunit ribosomal RNA", at positions 509 to 807 of the family's 1533-position model. The record is from RNAcentral.